Molecule: ribosomal RNA, 466 nt
Filed under: uncultured bacterium
Lineage: Bacteria
Description: partial 16S ribosomal RNA
Rfam family: Bacterial small subunit ribosomal RNA
Source: RNAcentral
GAUGAACGCUGGCGGCGUGCUUAACACAUGCAAGUCGAACGGAAAGGCUCCUGCUUGCAGGGGUACUCGAGUGGCGAACGGGUGAGUAACACGUGGGUGAUCUGCCCUGCACUUCGGGAUAAGCCUGGGAAACUGGGUCUAAUACCGGAUAGGACGAUGGUUUGGAUGCCAUUGUGGAAAGUUUUUUCGGUGUGGGAUGAGCUCGCGGCCUACCAGCUUGUUGGUGGGGUAAUGGCCUACCAAGGCGUCGACGGGUAGCCGGCCUGAGAGGGUAUACGGCCACAUUGGGACUGAGAUACGGCCCAGACUCCUACGGGAGGCAGCAGUGGGGAAUAUUGCACAAUGGGCGCAAGCCUGAUGCAGCGACGCCGCGUGGGGGAUGACGGCCUUCGGGUUGUAAACUCCUUUCGCUAGGGACGAAGCGCAAGUGACGGUACCUGGAGAAGAAGCACCGGCUAACUACGUG